GCAAGUCGAGCGGUAGAUUUUCUAGCUUGCUAGAAAAUUGAGAGCGGCGAACGGGUGAGUAACACGUUGGAAUCUGCCCCCAAGUCAGGGAUAGCCAUUGGAAACGAUGAUUAAUACCGGAUGUGCUCUACGGAGUAAAGAUUUAUCGCUUGGGGAGGAUCCUGCGUACUAUCAGCUUGUUGGUAAGGUAACGGCUUACCAAGGCUAUGACGGUUAACUGGUCUGAGAGGAUGAUC
This 236-nucleotide ribosomal RNA is filed under the name uncultured bacterium. RNAcentral's name for it is "partial 16S ribosomal RNA". It matches the Rfam family "Bacterial small subunit ribosomal RNA", at positions 57 to 305 of the family's 1533-position model. The record is from RNAcentral.